RNAcentral lists this transfer RNA (67 nucleotides) under Haemaphysalis danieli. RNAcentral's name for it is "tRNA-Glu". Lineage: Eukaryota; Metazoa; Arthropoda; Arachnida; Ixodida; Ixodidae. The record is from RNAcentral.
UUAAAUUUAAAUAGUGUAAUAUAACACUUAACAUUUUCAUUGUUAAAUUCUUAAUUAAGUUUAAAUA